This 332-nucleotide ribosomal RNA is filed under the name uncultured bacterium. RNAcentral describes it as "bacterial SSU rRNA". It matches the Rfam family "Bacterial small subunit ribosomal RNA", at positions 568 to 899 of the family's 1533-position model. The record is from RNAcentral.
UGCGUAGGCGGCUUUUUAAGUUUGGUGUGAAAUCUCCCGGCUCAACUGGGAGGGUGCGCCGAAUACUGAGAGGCUAGAGUGUGGGAGAGGAAAGUGGAAUUCCUGGUGUAGCGGUGAAAUGCGUAGAUAUCAGGAGGAACACCGGUGGUGUAAACGGCUUUCUGGACCAUAACUGACACUGAGGCACGAAAGCGUGGGUAGCAAACAGGAUUAGAUACCCUGGUAGUCCACGCCCUAAACGAUGCAUAUUUGGUGUGGGCCAUUCAUUUGGUCUGUGCCGGAGCUAACGCGUUAAAUAUGCCGCCGUGGGGAGUACAGUCGCAAGGCUAGAA